This 129-nucleotide ribosomal RNA is filed under the name Pteropus vampyrus (large flying fox). The record is from RNAcentral. Lineage: Eukaryota; Metazoa; Chordata; Mammalia; Chiroptera; Pteropodidae.
GUCUACGGCCACGGUGCCCUGAACAUGCCCGAUCUCGGCCGAUCUCGGCCGAUCUCGGAAGCUAAGCCGGGUCGGGCCUGCUUCGUACUUGGAUGGGAGACCACCUGGGAAGAGCAGGUGCUGUAGGCG